AAUGAACGCUGGCGGCAUGCCUAACACAUGCAAGUCGAACGAGACCUUCGGGUCUAGUGGCGCACGGGUGCGUAACGCGUGGGAACCUGCCCUUAGGUUCGGAAUAACUCCCCGAAAGGGGUGCUAAUACCGGAUAAUGUCUUCGGACCAAAGAUUUAUCGCCUUUGGAUGGGCCCGCGUUGGAUUAGCUAGUUGGUAGGGUAAAAGCCUACCAAGGCGACGAUCCAUAGCUGGUCUGAGAGGAUGAUCAGCCACACUGGGACUGAGACACGGCCCAGACCUCCAAGGGGAGGAGGCGUUGGGAAUAAUGGGACAAGGGCGAAAGCCUGAUCCAGCAAUGCCGCGUGAGUGAUGAAGGCCUUAGGGUUGUAAAGCUCUUUUACCCGGGAUGAUAAUGACAGUACCGGGAGAAUAAGCUCCGGCUAACUCCGUG
This 433-nucleotide ribosomal RNA is filed under the name uncultured bacterium. RNAcentral describes it as "partial 16S ribosomal RNA". It matches the Rfam family "Bacterial small subunit ribosomal RNA", at positions 29 to 507 of the family's 1533-position model. The record is from RNAcentral.